This 29-nucleotide non-coding RNA is filed under the name Rattus norvegicus (Norway rat). The record is from RNAcentral. Lineage: Eukaryota; Metazoa; Chordata; Mammalia; Rodentia; Muridae.
UAUUACAUAGACUCUGUUGUUCUGAGUGC